AUCUGCUGAGGGCAGAUAAAGUGAAUAUGACUGUCAAUGCCGCCGGCUGUGACGAUCAUCCCCUCUCCUGCCAGAGCUUCUGUAGAUGCGCCCACUGUCAUCCCCGGUGUGACGCCAUCCAUAAUAUCCGGAUUUCCCGCCUUGCCUAUGCCUGCUAUUUUUCCAUCACGGAUGCCAAUAUCAGCUUUUACGAUCCCUGUAUAAUCUACGAUCAGGGCAUUGGUAAUAACCAGAUCCAGACAGCCGUCCUCUCUGGCUGCCUUCACACAUUGUCCCAUGCCGUCAC
RNAcentral lists this small RNA (286 nucleotides) under Blautia producta. RNAcentral's name for it is "5' ureB small RNA". It matches the Rfam family "5' ureB small RNA". The record is from RNAcentral. Lineage: Bacteria; Bacillati; Bacillota; Clostridia; Lachnospirales; Lachnospiraceae.